Molecule: ribosomal RNA, 544 nt
Filed under: Alternaria sp. X5
Lineage: Eukaryota; Fungi; Ascomycota; Dothideomycetes; Pleosporales; Pleosporaceae
Description: eukaryotic LSU rRNA
Rfam family: 5.8S ribosomal RNA (bases 182-335)
Source: RNAcentral
UGCGGAGGGAUCAUUACACAAAUAUGAAGGCGGGCUGGAACCUCUCGGGGUUACAGCCUUGCUGAAUUAUUCACCCUUGUCUUUUGCGUACUUCUUGUUUCCUUGGUGGGUUCGCCCACCACUAGGACAAACAUAAACCUUUUGUAAUUGCAAUCAGCGUCAGUAACAAAUUAAUAAUUACAACUUUCAACAACGGAUCUCUUGGUUCUGGCAUCGAUGAAGAACGCAGCGAAAUGCGAUAAGUAGUGUGAAUUGCAGAAUUCAGUGAAUCAUCGAAUCUUUGAACGCACAUUGCGCCCUUUGGUAUUCCAAAGGGCAUGCCUGUUCGAGCGUCAUUUGUACCCUCAAGCUUUGCUUGGUGUUGGGCGUCUUGUCUCUAGCUUUGCUGGAGACUCGCCUUAAAGUAAUUGGCAGCCGGCCUACUGGUUUCGGAGCGCAGCACAAGUCGCACUCUCUAUCAGCAAAGGUCUAGCAUCCAUUAAGCCUUUUUUUCAACUUUUGACCUCGGAUCAGGUAGGGAUACCCGCUGAACUUAAGCAUAUCA